UACGGAGGGUGCAAGCGUUAUCCGGAUUCACUGGGUUUAAAGGGUGCGUAGGUGGGCAAGUAAGUCAGUGGUGAAAUCUCCGGGCUUAACCCGGAAACUGCCAUUGAUACUAUUUGUCCUGAAUAUUGUGGAGGUCAGCGGAAUAUGUCAUGUAGCGGUGAAAUGCUUAGAUAUGACAUAGAACACCAAUUGCGAAGGCAGCUGGCUACACAAAUAUUGACACUGAGGCACGAAAGCGUGGGGAUCAAACAGG
This 253-nucleotide ribosomal RNA is filed under the name uncultured bacterium. RNAcentral's name for it is "partial 16S ribosomal RNA". It matches the Rfam family "Bacterial small subunit ribosomal RNA", at positions 524 to 776 of the family's 1533-position model. The record is from RNAcentral.